RNAcentral lists this ribosomal RNA (468 nucleotides) under uncultured bacterium. RNAcentral describes it as "partial 16S ribosomal RNA". It matches the Rfam family "Bacterial small subunit ribosomal RNA", at positions 28 to 507 of the family's 1533-position model. The record is from RNAcentral.
GACGAACGCUGGCGGCGUGCUUAACACAUGCAAGUCGAACGGAAAGGCCCUGCUUUUGUGGGGUGCUCGAGUGGCGAACGGGUGAGUAACACGUGAGUAACCUGCCCUUGACUUUGGGAUAACUUCAGGAAACUGGGGCUAAUACCGGAUAGGAGCUCCUGCUGCAUGGUGGGGGUUGGAAAGUUUCGGCGGUUGGGGAUGGACUCGCGGCUUAUCAGCUUGUUGGUGGGGUAGUGGCUUACCAAGGCUUUGACGGGUAGCCGGCCUGAGAGGGUGACCGGCCACACUGGGACUGAGAUACGGCCCAGACUCCUACGGGAGGCAGCAGUGGGGAAUAUUGCACAAUGGGCGGAAGCCUGAUGCAGCAACGCCGCGUGCGGGAUGACGGCCUUCGGGUUGUAAACCGCUUUCGCCUGUGACGAAGCGUGAGUGACGGUAAUGGGUAAAGAAGCACCGGCUAACUACGUG